AGGCGUGAGUUAUCCGCCCGGUUGGUUUACUCUGUCCCAUAUCGACAGGGAAGAGGAAUCAUUGGAGCAUCUUCUUUCGAGCCCCGCAGCAUCUCACAUCUCCUCAGCUACGCUUUCUUGUUCUAUCAUCCACCGACCAAAAGCGCGGAUCACAUUGAAGCCCUUCUAAGGUUUGGUGUUCCCACCCCUUUUCUUUUGUCCGAGGAAAAAAAAAGGAGAUUUUUUUUUGCGCUUUCGGAUGGAGAUGGUGGUGGAAAUGGCGGAGCCGGGUGGGUUUCUUGCUUCCUUUCUCGGCUUAGAUGUGGUUCCGGCGACGAAACAGCGAGUUCGAUGGGAUCCCAAGGGAAUGCAGCUGAAGCACAAGAUUAGACCUAGCGUUUUCUGACGCUUCCGAGCUAAAUAUCGGUAUAUUUGGUGCCGAGGAAGCGAAUUGUUCUUUGACUUGAAGGAUUUGGAGAUGAUAGGAAGAGAAUCGAAUCUGAGGAAGGAAGCCGCAGUGAACCUGAGUGAAGUGGCGGCAAGCACUCAACUACGGAAGAUACGGCAACAGGGGUACGUGUAUGUGGAGCUGAGACGUGUCGGGAGGCGCAUCAGCUUCUUCUGCAUCCUUUGCCUCACCCCAUGUUACAGCGAAACGGUGCUGUUUGUUCAUCUUGGGGGGAAUCUCCAUAAACGAAGGCUUGCUGGUGCCAAAGCGACUCUUUUUGGAGCCACACCGUGGCCUUUCGAUGAUGGUGUUCUUUUCUUUGAUACUUCUACUGAGACUGACAUGCUGUUACCGGGUUCAGAUUAUCAAAAUGAUAUGUCUAUGGUUGUUAGUGACAGUUCUGGGAACGACGAUGAAGUAACUUCGAGGUUUAUAGUGAAUCCGACCAGUAUGCAUGAUGCUCCCGGUCUUGGUAGGAAUUGCAGUGCGCAAAAGGGUAGUGGUAAUGGUUCUAAUCUCGAUGGUUCCCCAGAUGCUCAACGUGGAUUAAUUGUAAAAGGUUGCGGUGCUUCUUCAAGAUCUAGCUGUUCUGUCGCAGACGAGGUUACAACUUGCAAUUGGGCUGAUAAUAGUUUGAUUAUUCCUGGGGUCCUACUUAAGCAGGGAGUUUCAGGUUUGGCUGUGCAACCCUUGGGAGUUGGGCAGAUUGCAUACAGAGUACAAGAAAACAAGGAAUCUCGUGGUAAGAUCAUUACCAGGAUAUGGUGUGCCUGGCUGGGACAAGAAGGAUCCAACCUUAGUGAUGAGUUGAAUGUGCCGGUAACUUCACAAUAUGCUAUAGUUAAUUUCCCUUAUGCAUAUGGCUUAGGUAGGAAGCCAGCUCCAGGCGAUGAAGAUCUUCCAAUGUCACCUGGUUCUUUCUUUGAAGUUGAUGACACUGGGCAUUGUAGGGAGAGGAAAAGGAAAUUGUCCUCAGAUCAGGUUUGAAUGGUUCUUGCGAGUCCCCUUCUGGAGUUUGCCCAAGUUUGGACAGCAUUGUGGCACAAGAUCCCCAACAGCUUGAGACGAGACUUGUAUCAAGCAAGGUCGUCGGGCAAGAGCCGAGAAUACAGAAACGUCGUCCUGCAGAGAGAACCUGCGACAUCUGUAGGCAGCCAAUGCUCCCUCGAAAGGAUGUGGCUACGCUACUGAAUCGUCGUACUGGUAAUUUAGCUUGCAGCAGUAGGAACACUACUGGGGCUUUUCAUCCAUUUCAUGCUUCAUGCCUCAUACACUGGAUCCUCAUAUGUGAGUUAGAAAUGUUGGCUGACCAGAAACAGAGCACUGAAACGACAGAGGACGCAAGGGAAGAUCAACGACUAGAGAACCGAAUUUCUUCGGUCUUUUGCCCGGAGUGCCAGGGCACUGGAAUAUCCAUCCAAGGAGAGGAACUUGAAAAACCCACCGUUCCACUUUCUGAGAUGCUCCGCUAUAAGCUGAAAACCAUCGAGGCAACCGAGGCAUGGAUGAAAAAUCCAGAAAUGCUCAAGAAAUGCUCCACCGGACUUCAUUUCCCUUCUGAUUGUACUGAAAACUCAGAGGAGAAUGUCGUACCUCUAAAGUUGCUGCACUUCUUUCGAGCCCAUGAGCAGAGGCAGGCUUAAAGAACACAACACUGAAAUGCUGGAUUCCAGCCACUGAUGGAUGACUCAGUUGUCAGAUGUAAAUAUUCACUUCUGUGUCGUACAAAUUUUUACAUUUGGCUUCUAGAGACGCUUGGGCAUGUAGAAAGAGAUUAGCGAGUCUUGUAUCACAUCUUACCUGCAAUUUGCUGUGAAUGCUAUUACCGGAUGCUGGUCUUCGUUACUAAUUGUUUGCUGUAGACAAUACCAUCGUCUUCAAGACAUACUCUGUUUUCCCA
Non-coding RNA from Musa acuminata subsp. malaccensis (wild Malaysian banana), 2327 nucleotides. NCBI's taxonomy places the organism in Eukaryota, Viridiplantae, Streptophyta, Magnoliopsida, Zingiberales, Musaceae. The record is from RefSeq and is a predicted model, not a curated record.